Molecule: long non-coding RNA, 2323 nt
Organism: Bubalus bubalis (water buffalo)
Lineage: Eukaryota; Metazoa; Chordata; Mammalia; Artiodactyla; Bovidae
Exons: 6
Source: RefSeq, a predicted model, not a curated record
UUUGAGCAAUCUCCGGGACAGGGUGAAGGACAGGGAAGACUGGCAUGCUGCAGUCCAUGAGCAGCCCCCUGCCAGUUCUGGAAACACCCGACUGGCUAAGCGAGCACCGCAGAGGAGCAGGACCCAAACGGAGGUAGUCUGCGGGUGAGCCCUCCACGAAGGGCGCAGGGGUCCGGGACCCGCCGGCGGAAAGGAGGAGGCGGACCGCAGAGGACUCUUGGAAGAGGCAGAGUGUAUACUGCACGCAAGGGCUAAAGCUAGCUGAUGGCAACACGAGCGCUGUAGAGAACAGACUGCCAGUCCUUGUAGAACUUACAUCCUAUGCAAGAAACAAAGCAGUUACAAAUCUCAGACUGUGAUGCCAAGAAAAGGUGAAGUUGGAAGGAAACUUUGAUGUCAUGGAAAUUCUUCAGUGUGGUGUUUGAAGUAAUCCUUCAGGACUAAAGGUACCAAAGCUGGGCUGUCAUCCCAAUCAGUACUUCCUGCUGGAGCCUGGGAGACAGGAGAAAAUUCCACCCUGGGAGAGCUGGCAGGGGUGCUACUGUUCCUGCUCAAUCCAUUCCACAUGGGCCAACCCAGUUUGUGCUUAGAGGAGGGCUUCAGAUUGAAUUUCUUAGUGAGUCUAACCCAGACCUUUUUUUUUUUUUUUAUGACCGUGAGAAAAGUGGAGGAGACUGAAGUUUUGUUGUUUUUUUUGUUUGUUUUUUUUUUUUAGCUCCUCGCUGACUCCUUUAAAAAAAUGAUCCAUACCCUUGACUGUCAAAGUGACACAUUUAUCUUUCCCUUAGUAUUCUCUGCCUCCUGUCCCAACUUCCACAGCUCUGAUUUAUUUAUUUUUUAAAAUGUAUCUAUUUCUUUGCAUCAGGUUUUAACUGAGGCCUCCCCUCCCCACUUCCACUGCUCCAAUUUUAUUUAUUUAAAAAAAUUAUUAAUCUGUUUAUUCGACUGAAUUGGGUUUUAACUAAGGUAUGUGGAAUCUUUUGUUUCUUUAUUUGUACCAGAUCUUUUUUUUUUUUUAUCUUUUAGUUGCAGUACAUGUGAACUCUUAGUUGUAAGCAUGUAGGAUCUAGUUCCCUGACCAGGGAUUGAACCCGGGUCCCCUGCAUUCGGAGUACAGUGUGGUAGCCACUGGACUACCAGGGAAGUCCCUCCACCGCUCUGAUUGUAGAUGACAACUCUCACAACUGCUUUGAGUCUCCUGAAGCAUAUCCUUGCUGUGAUGGAUACCCUCCUUGGGUGUCAGCCACGUUUCCGAGGGCCAGGAUGUGGUAUGGCUUCCUCCCACCGAGGAUGGGUGUGCAGGGAGCAGACUGGCUGUCUGCUGAGCCAGGAAAGAGAUAUCCAUUUGUCCUGGGGGCAGUCUGAGGCUCACCUUUGGCACGAAUCCCAAAUCUUCAAAUGUUCCACCUCAAUGUUUGGUUGCUACUCUAAAAGAAAUGGCCUGGGUGGUUGAUUCCCUAGUGGUCCAGUGGUUAAGAACCCACCUUGCAAUGCAGGGACUGUGGGUUCGAUCCCUAGUUGGGGAACUAAGAUUCCACAAGGCAUGGCACAACUAAGCCCACGAGCUCCUGAGCCCACAUGAUGCAACUAAGACCUGAUGCAGCCAAAUAAAUAAAUACUUAAAAAAAUCCUGUAAAAGAAAUGGCCUUGCUCUGGUUUCCAUCUAUAUCCUCUAAUCAUGCUUUUCACACAGAGGAUUUAAAAGCGUAAAGAAACCCGUCUACCCACACACACAGGCACGCACACGUGCACACACACACACAGAAACUCUACUUGGCCCCUCCAUCCCUCGAGCCCAUCUUCCUGUCCUUGACCACGACUGCUCCAGCCCUGAUGCCUGUGACAUUGUCCUGGAGCUGAAAUGCCCUCAACCUCUCCUCUCCGGGUUCCAAGGAUGCUGCGGCUACUCCAGCUCAGGACACAGUCCUGAAGCCGAGAUGCCCACACGCCUGCUUGAGCCUCUGUAGGACAUGUCUUCUCUGAAAUGAAGAAAAAUUCACUCCAUGAGAAGAAGAAAAAAAACCCGACUUUUACCCCAUAUUGAUUUCCCUCCAUGGAAAUAAACACGCAGCUGGUACCCAGAGGCUGAGUGUGAGGACUGUGUUGGACACAAGGUCGUUCAGGAAGAAACACAGACCAGCGAGAGCCUGACCAGCAACCUGGACGUUUCUGAGACUCACUUGUACUCCAGAAGUGUCCCAUCCAGCCACCUCCAUUCAUUCUCCUGCUCCAAGUCCGUGAGGCCAAUCCAGUAGUUCUGUUUUGCCACCAUCUGGUUUUUGAUCCAUUGCUGGAAAAUAAAAUCAUAGAUGGUGCGUUACUA